Apteryx haastii (Great spotted kiwi) is the source of this 119-nucleotide ribosomal RNA. NCBI's taxonomy places the organism in Eukaryota, Metazoa, Chordata, Aves, Apterygiformes, Apterygidae. The record is from Ensembl.
GCCAUCAGGCCACACCACCCUGGGCACACAGCUGUUGUCUGAUCUCUGAAGCUCAAUACAGUCAGGCCCAAUUAGUACUUGGAUGGGAGACUGCUUGGGAAUACUGGGUGCAGUAGGCU